UACCCGCAGCACAAGUGGUGGUCAUUAUUAUUGGGCCUAAAGCGUCCGUAGCUGGCUUGUUAGAUGCCUGGGUAAAUCGAUGCGCUCAACGUAUCGAACUCCGGGUAGACCGGCAAGCUUGGGACCGGGAGAGGCGUGAGCUACUCGGGGGGUAGGGGUAAAAUCCUGUAAUCCUCCGGGGAGGACCAGUGGCGAAGGCGUCACGCUAGAACGGCUCCGACAGUGAGGGACGAAAGCUGGGGGAGCAAACCGG
Molecule: ribosomal RNA, 253 nt
Filed under: uncultured bacterium
Lineage: Bacteria
Description: partial 16S ribosomal RNA
Rfam family: Archaeal small subunit ribosomal RNA
Source: RNAcentral